RNAcentral lists this long non-coding RNA (804 nucleotides) under Coturnix japonica (Japanese quail). Its description in RNAcentral is "lncRNA (ENSCJPG00005015165.1)". Lineage: Eukaryota; Metazoa; Chordata; Aves; Galliformes; Phasianidae. The record is from RNAcentral.
GGAGCACUGGGGAGUAAUGAGAGUACCCAGAGCAUCAGGAGCACUGAUUGUACCAGGGUCACCAGGAGCACUGGGAGCACCGGGGGUGCCGUGAGCACCCUCAGCACCUCAUGCGUGGCACCUCCUGUGCGUGAUGGCUGUUGGCUAACCAGAGCUGGUGGAGGCAGCUUAAGUCUGUUUGACUGUCCCUGUCAUCAUAAGGUUUACGGAUGGUUAAUUUAUUCUUUAUAGCACAGUCAUUGAUGGCUGUUAAAUCACAAAUGAGAGCCAAUAAAGGGUGAAUUGCAGCUGAAAUUACACUGUUUAUAUGACAGCAGAGUGCUGGCUAAAAGAUUCAUAUGCCGCUGAUGAAGUACGUUAUAAAUUUUAAUUACCAUAGUUUGUACAAAUGACAUGUUUGAAAUGCUAUUGAGUAAUGUGACCCUGAUAAUGAAACUAUAAAAUAAAUCAUUAACUUUCUGAAUGAGCUUUUUUAUUUCCAUGCUACAUGAAGUAAACUUUCCAAUUUAUUCCAUUGCAGCCCUCUUUCAAAAAAAUUAAAAGAAAGUGGAGACAGAAGUGUCACCAUCCAGCAGCAGGGGAUGUGGACAUCUGGGGGAGGAGAGCAUCAUGCAGAAGCUUCUCCUCUAGGGGCUGCUCAGUGAGGCCCUGGCAGGUACAGAACUAUGAGGGACCCGUCAGCGCGGAGCCAACAGGGGCACCCUGUGCACCCCAGGAGCAGAGGCAGAAGAGCAGAGAGACAACAGCUGCACCAAGCCAGAACCCCACUAAAUAGUCCUUAAGCCUUAAUGAGAUCCAUAAGAU